CCUGGCCCUGGUGAUGGUGGGAGGUCCCGAUGUAUGAUUCCUGUUUAUAAUAAAAUUCACCCCGAUUGAAUGCCCGAUUGUUGCCUCGAUGCGUUUCUUUCUUUCUCGAUGUGAAUGUGCCUUGUUGUUUGUGUAUGCUUGAGAUUGACCUUGAUAUAUUGUGCCUUAUUGUGAAUGCUUGAGACUAACCAUGGUUUAUGGUUAUUUGUUCAGAUAUUGAUCUAUUGAAGGCUGACUUGG
RNAcentral lists this long non-coding RNA (240 nucleotides) under Durio zibethinus. RNAcentral's name for it is "long non-coding RNA (DZIB_LNC000896)". The record is from RNAcentral. Lineage: Eukaryota; Viridiplantae; Streptophyta; Magnoliopsida; Malvales; Malvaceae.